GAUGAACGCUGGCGGCGUGCCUAAUACAUGCAAGUCGAGCGAACAGAUAAGGAGCUUGCUCCUUUGACGUUAGCGGCGGACGGGUGAGUAACACGUGGGUAACCUACCUAUAAGACUGGAAUAACUCCGGGAAACCGGGGCUAAUGCCGGAUAACAUUUAGAACCGCAUGGUUCUAAAGUGAAAGAUGGUUUUGCUAUCACUUAUAGAUGGACCCGCGCCGUAUUAGCUAGCUGGUAAGGUAACGGCUUACCAAGGCAACGAUACGUAGCCGACCUGAGAGGGUGAUCGACCACACUGGAACUGAGACACGGUCCAGACUCCUACGGGAGGCAGCAGUAGGGAAUCUUCCGCAAUGGGCGAAAGCCUGACGGAGCAACGCCGCGUGAGUGAUGAAGGUCUUCGGAUCGUAAAACUCUGUUAUUAGGGAAGAACAAAUGUGUAAGUAACUGUGCACGUCUUGACGGUACCUAAUCAGAAAGCCACGGCUAACUACGUG
Molecule: ribosomal RNA, 497 nt
Filed under: uncultured bacterium
Lineage: Bacteria
Description: partial 16S ribosomal RNA
Rfam family: Bacterial small subunit ribosomal RNA
Source: RNAcentral